RNAcentral lists this transfer RNA (73 nucleotides) under Fasciola gigantica. It matches the Rfam family "tRNA". From Rfam's summary of the family: Transfer RNA (tRNA) molecules are approximately 80 nucleotides in length. Their secondary structure includes four short double-helical elements and three loops (D, anti-codon, and T loops). Lineage: Eukaryota; Metazoa; Platyhelminthes; Trematoda; Plagiorchiida; Fasciolidae. The record is from Rfam by way of RNAcentral.
ACCGCAAUAGGUCAGCUGGUAGAGCGCCUGCCCGGUAUGCGGAGGAUCGCCGGUUCGAUUCCGGCUUGCGGCC